This 253-nucleotide ribosomal RNA is filed under the name uncultured bacterium. Its description in RNAcentral is "partial 16S ribosomal RNA". It matches the Rfam family "Bacterial small subunit ribosomal RNA", at positions 524 to 776 of the family's 1533-position model. The record is from RNAcentral.
UACGGAGGGAGCUAGCGUUGUUCGGAAUUACUGGGCGUAAAGCGCGCGUAGGCGGCUUUGUAAGUUAGAGGUGAAAGCCCGGGGCUCAACCCCGGAAUUGCCUUUAAGACUGCAUCGCUAGAAUCCGGGAGAGGUGAGUGGAAUUCCGAGUGUAGAGGUGAAAUUCGUAGAUAUUCGGAAGAACACCAGUGGCGAAGGCGGCUCGCUGGACCGGUAUUGACGCUGAGGUGCGAAAGCGUGGGGAGCAAACAGG